GUCUUUGGUGUUUUUCACCCCGAAAAAUGUGCAAAGACUAUAGCCUUUGGUGUUUUUCACCCCGAAAAAUGUGCAAAGACUAUAGUCUUUGGUGUUUUUCACCGCCAAAAAUGUGCAAAGACUAUAGUCUUUGGUGUUUUUCGCCCCGAAAAAUGUGCAAAGACUAUAGUCUUUGGUGUUUUUCGCCCCAAAAAAUGUGAGAAGACUAUAGCCUUAGGUGUUUUUCGCCCCGGAAAAUGUGCAAAGACUAUAGUCUUUGGUGUUUUUCGCCCCGAAAAAUGUGCAAAGACUAUAGUCUUUGGUGUUUUUCACCCCGAAAAAUGUGCAAAGACUAUAGCCUUUGGUGUUUUU
RNAcentral lists this unclassified non-coding RNA (351 nucleotides) under Athalia rosae (coleseed sawfly). RNAcentral describes it as "misc RNA ENSAEAG00005010167.1". The record is from RNAcentral. Lineage: Eukaryota; Metazoa; Arthropoda; Insecta; Hymenoptera; Athaliidae.